CCGUACCCAUCAGAGGGGGAUAACACUUGGAGACAGGUGCUAAUACCGCAUAACAGUUUAUGCCGCAUGGCAUAAGAGUGAAAGGCGCUUUCGGGUGUCGCUGAUGGAUGGACCCGCGGUGCAUUAGCUAGUUGGUGAGGUAACGGCUCACCAAGGCCACGAUGCAUAGCCGACCUGAGAGGGUGAUCGGCCACACUGGGACUGAGACACGGCCCAG
This 217-nucleotide ribosomal RNA is filed under the name uncultured bacterium. RNAcentral describes it as "partial 16S ribosomal RNA". It matches the Rfam family "Bacterial small subunit ribosomal RNA", at positions 125 to 334 of the family's 1533-position model. The record is from RNAcentral.